Nerophis lumbriciformis (worm pipefish) is the source of this 2043-nucleotide long non-coding RNA. RefSeq lists it as uncharacterized. The record is from RefSeq and is a predicted model, not a curated record. Lineage: Eukaryota; Metazoa; Chordata; Actinopteri; Syngnathiformes; Syngnathidae.
AUAAAAAAAAAAGUUUCUGCAACUGGCUAGGCUGGUGUCCCCUUUCUCCGCCAUCGCUUCAUGUGUGUCCCUCCCGCAGCCCAGCGCUCGAGAGGGACAGCGCUAAAAUGCAUCAGAAGACAGACUUAUACAGACAUUUCCCCCACAUAUCGCAAUAAAAGACGGAACCCUUUGAUUCCCCGUCUUUAAAUCCGACUCACAAAUCCCGGGAGACAAAAUUUGACAUUAAUCACAUUCGAAGGCGAGGACACACCUGAAAGUCAGCCGUGAUAAUCUGAAACAGAGGAGGACCAGAAAGACACAGAAGGGAUUGGAAAUGUGCGGCUUCGUUAGAUUCAGGAGUCUUGAACUUUGAAUAUCCUACAGCAUGUCAGAUUGCUGUAGCAUUAAAGCAAGAUGGUUGUAAAAGGUGUUGAGGCACCACCUAUUGGCCCUUGGAGGGCGAAUCAGCUAUAAUUGAUAAUAAUACAUUUUGUUCAUAAAGUGACAUUAAGAGCAAUUCUAAAAAGAAAAGCGAGUAAUCAACAACCCCAUCUGCCAAAAUGUCUUUUUUGUCAGCGGAGGAUCAUGAGAAAUGGAGUCAAAUCAAAAGGGUCGCGGGGGGUGCUGGAGCCAAUCUCAGCUGCAUUCCGGCGGAAGGCGGGGUACAUCCUGGACAAGUCGCCACCUCAUCGCAGGGCCAACACAGAUAGACAGACAACAUUUAUUAUGGUUAUUAUUAAAUCUUAAUUUAAUUUAAUUUAGAAAAUACAUAUUUUUUACUUAUUCUAGAUUUAUUUUGACUUUCACUGAAUUCUUUAGGACUGUCAAAGUUAACACGAUAAUGCGUUAACUAUAAAUUUCAAUAACGGCACUCAUUUUUUUAACGGGCAAUUAAUGCAAACACUUCCUUUUUGGCCCUCAAGCUAACCCCCCCACCCAUUUUUCACGUUUGUGCUUAAAUGCUUAUUUAGGUUUCUCUCAUUCAUAUUCUCCCAUUCAGCCUGCGGACACACAAAUGGCGGGCUCAUCACUAAUGAGGCGGACUUUGCCAGGACGCCUUUUUUUCUUAGUAGUGUGACAAUAAUGGCGACUUGUGAAUGUCAUUGAAAUCCAUGAAAAACUUAACACGUUUAAAUUUGGAAAAAGCCAUACGUGUGUUGCCAUGGUGAUGUGGCAACGUCUUCUUCCUAGCUGGAUGUGAAAAAUAAUUUGUAGAUUAAACUUUAUUCACUUACUAUUACCAGCCUGAUGUUUUUUGUGAUGUUAAGAGUUCUGUUUAGUAAAAUGUUUGUGAAGCUGUGAUGUGUCAGAGAGGCUUGCAUGGACAACGGUGUGUGUGGCUCAUAUGUGUGUGUGCAAAUCAGAGAGUGACAGUUUGACAUUACUCUCUAAAAACAUAUCAAAUCAUUGAAUAGACGCUACACGAUGUAUGUAUUUUCAAAUAAAUAGUCACGUAGUUCAAUGAUCACGGUCCACAUGAAAUUGUAUGCAUUGAACGUCUGUUAGUACCAGGAUUGUCAUGGCCCGGGCGCACCUCUGUGUGCAUGUAUCUGUGCGCCGGGCGCACCUCCGAGAGCGCACCUGCGUGCACCACUCCGGCUGCAGCAGGCAGCUGCAAUCAAGCUGCAAUCUGCACACCUGUCGCUGAUGAGCCCUCUGGGCUUCUUAAACCAGUGCAGACCUGCGUUCCGGGCCAGAACGUAGCGACCAGUUCCAGUACAGUGAGCCGAAUAUCUCUAGCUCUAUGCACUCUCUCUCUCUCUCUCUGUGUUUCUCCCCCCUCCGUGUUAAUUUUUCACGUGUCCCUUGUCGAUCCAGCAGCAUUCCUCCGUUCCCGCGUCACAAGCUGUGUGUCUCGUCUCCCCGUAUUCCCUCUGGUUCCCUGGCUGCCUUUUGGAUCUCGACCUCCCGCCUGGACAAGGAUUUUGACGCCUCGCUAUAGCCCCCGACUUCCUGCCUGUCUCUGGACCUUCGAGCCUGCCUUGCCCCUCUUGGACUUCCACACCUCGCUCAACACUCUGAGUAACACUCUUCAGUUAAUCUCUACACAUAGUCGCACAC